RNAcentral lists this long non-coding RNA (790 nucleotides) under Capra hircus (goat). Its description in RNAcentral is "lncRNA (ENSCHIG00000006198.1)". The record is from RNAcentral. Lineage: Eukaryota; Metazoa; Chordata; Mammalia; Artiodactyla; Bovidae.
GUGACUUUAUUGAACAAGCACUGAUGCAGUGAGUAUAUCUUCUCUAAAGAUUUUCUCAGUUUAAGAUUCCCCCAGUUAGUCUCUCUAGAGGGAAGGUGCAGGAUCAAAGGAUGUAAACAUACCGUGGCUUUUGCUACAUCGCCAGGCUGUUUUCCAGAAGGGCUGCACUAAUUUCCACUCUGACUAGCAAUGAAAGAGAGUGUUUCAUCACGCCUUUGGCAAUACGGGGUGUUAUCAUUUUCUCAAAUCUGGGCUGAUUUAGUAGGCAAACAUUUGCAUCUUGUCUUAAUUUUCAUUCCUUUGAUAACUAAUGAGAAGGAACAUCUUUUGUGAAUUGUUCAUUCCUAUCUUCUAACCAUCCCUUUAGCAUUUGGCGUCUUCAGAGUGUUUUGGAUGGAGUUGCGUAAGACCGUCUUCCCAGGACUGAGCUUUUGAGCCAUCACGUAUCCUCCAUGGAGUGUGGUGCUGAAACAAGAGGAAGACAAAGAGGACCAAAGCCAGUGUUUCAUUCCACUGAACAUUCGAUGAGCCUUCACUCUGUGAUGGGUGCUAAGCCAAGCAGUGUGUGUCCAUUGUCUCAUUCAACCUCAACAUUUCCUCUCUGAGGUGGGUAUAUUACCAGGCCUCUAACAGAUGAGAAAAACUGAGACCCAGGAAGGUUAUUUGUCCCAGGGCACACAGCUAGUAUGUGGCAGAAUGAGAAUUUGUACCCUCAUGCCUCUGGCCCCAAAGCCCGAGUCUUUCCUUUCCAUUUUACAUUACUCUUCCUCAUAGUGUAGAACCUGGGAGA